UGAAUCAAUGGAAACCCGGUUCUAAUGCUCGAUGCAAAGAAUGGUUGGAGAAGAAGAAAGGUUAUUUAUAAAUAGUUGUCCAGUCUUCACUACAUUUGCACUGAGUUCCCUUCACUCUCUUUUCUUUCUUCUUCUUUGCACCGAGUUCCCUUCACUACAUAUUUGCACUGAGUUCCCUUCAAGGUUAUCUUCUAUUUAAGUCAUUACUUGUCAUAUUUUAUUUGGGAUUAGAUAAAGCUAUACAUAUACAUAGCCAGAGAUCAACAUCAAGUGCUAAAUGCACUUGCAGCGAAGACACAAUUUUAUCACUUUAAGGUCAUUAUCGUGACUGGUAUGAGUUUUUUUCACCGAUGCCUACGACCUAUUUUCUAUCUCCCUGGUAACAAAGUUAUUUGGCCGCAUAUACACUACCAUGUGGACGGUGCAUCAAAGCCGGGAAUGUUGCCCCCCGACAUCUCAGCCACAGUCAAUGGCGUAGCCUUCAUUGGAACACUUUCCGACUAGCUCUUCUUUGGCUGGCUAGGUGACAAGCUCGGCAGAAAGAAAGUCUACGGCAUGACUAUGCUCCUUAUGGUGAUUUGCUCUGUGGCCUCCGGCUUUCUUUCUGCCGGAGCUUGUCACCUAGCCAGCCAAAGAAGAGCUGGCCGGAAAGUGUUCCAAUGAAAGCUACGCCAUUGACUGCGGCUGAGAUGUUGGGGGGCAACGUUCCCGGCUUUAAUGCACCGUCCACAUGGUAGUAUAUGCGGCCAAAUAACUUUGUUAUCAGGGAGAUAGAAAAUAGGUAGUAGGCAUCGGUGAAAAAAACUCAUACCAGUCACGAUAAUGGCCGUAAAGUGAUAAAAUUGUGUCUUCGCUGCAUCAAGUGCAUUUAGCAUUUGAAGUUGAUCUCUGGCCAUGUAUAUAUAUAGCUUUAUCUAAUCCCAAACAGUAUAUUUCAGACGCUGUUUUUGUAAAAGAGUUUCUGGGUCAAUAUUGAACAUUCUUUGAUGCAAAGACAAUUCAAGGAUGACGGCAACCCUUCUGGCAAGGAAUAAAGCCCAUGGCAACCAUUAAUCUCCAAUUUCCCAAGGGCGAUCAAGUUCUGAAUACCCAUGCCAUUCAUGACUCUGAGAUCUGAGAGUCUACUGAUGCGUAGAGACUUGAGACUUCUUGGAAGAAGAUCCUUAUCUGGAAAUGACUUCAUGCCAAUGCAUCCACCUUCAAUCUCCAAAUGAGUUAGAGAGGGAAGCCUAUGCAGAUUCCACUCCUUUUGAGGUACAAGCUUGUCAGAAAAUGAAAUUGAAGAGACCCACAUUCUUCUUCUGCCACAGAUCUUGGUAUGCAUCAUUUGGAAAAAGCAAUGGUUUGACCAUCAGAGUGAGCAUAAUAGAAGCCAGAGUUCAAGCGUCUCGGAAGGUUUACUGGUCCUGCACAAGCAAAAACAGAAGAUCAUUUUUAAAACAUAUUGAAAAAUUGAAAAAAUCUUUAUGCAUUCUUGUUACUUGACUGUUUUAUUAUCGAGUGAGAUUGAAGAAUAAGCACAUUUUUUAUUGAAUUCAUCACUACGAAGAACAUUGUAACCUAGCUUGAGUUUAAGACCAUUCUUGACUUCACUUUUGUCACC
This is a non-coding RNA of Arachis ipaensis, 1603 nucleotides long. The record is from RefSeq and is a predicted model, not a curated record. NCBI's taxonomy places the organism in Eukaryota, Viridiplantae, Streptophyta, Magnoliopsida, Fabales, Fabaceae.